GACGAACGCUGGCGGCGUGCUUAACACAUGCAAGUCGAACGGAAAGGCCCUGCUUUUGUGGGGUGCUCGAGUGGCGAACGGGUGAGUAACACGUGAGUAACCUGCCCUUGACUUUGGGAUAACUUCAGGAAACUGGGGCUAAUACCGGAUAGGAGCGCCUGCUGCAUGGUGGGGGUUGGAAAGUUUAGGCGGUUGUGGAUGGACUCGCGGCUUAUCAGCUUGUUGGUGGGGUAGUGGCUUACCAAGGCUUUGACGGGUAGCCGGCCUGAGAGGGUGAACGGCGACAUUGGGACUGAGAUACGGCGCAGAGUGCUACGGGAGGCAGCAGGGGGGAAUAUUGCACAAUGGGCGGAAGCCUGAUGCAGCAACGCCGCGUGCGGGAUGACGGCCUUCGGGUUGUAAACCGCUUUCGCCUGUGACGAAGCGUGAGUGACGGUAAUGGGUAAAGAAGCACCGGCUAACUACGUG
Molecule: ribosomal RNA, 468 nt
Filed under: uncultured bacterium
Lineage: Bacteria
Description: partial 16S ribosomal RNA
Rfam family: Bacterial small subunit ribosomal RNA
Source: RNAcentral